RNAcentral lists this ribosomal RNA (382 nucleotides) under Odorrana graminea (large odorous frog). RNAcentral describes it as "partial 12S ribosomal RNA". It matches the Rfam family "Bacterial small subunit ribosomal RNA", at positions 875 to 1400 of the family's 1533-position model. Lineage: Eukaryota; Metazoa; Chordata; Amphibia; Anura; Ranidae. The record is from RNAcentral.
AACUUACAUCCAUAAGCGCCAGGGAACUACGAGCCACGCUUAAAACCCAAAGGAUUUGACGGUGUCCCACCCCCCUAGAGGAGCCUGUUCUAUAAUCGAUGAUCCCCGCUAUACCCCACCACCCCUUGCUCAUCAGUCUGUAUACCUCCGUCGAAAGCUUACCAUGUGAACGUCUAUAGUAAGUUCAAUGACCCAUGCCAAUGCGUCAACACGUCAGGUCAAGGUGCAGCUUAAGAGGUGGAAAGUGAUGGGCUACAAUUUCUAAUUUAGAACAAACGAAAGGCCAUGUGAAAUCCUGGCCACGAAGGCGGAUUUAGUAGUAAAAAGAAAAUAGAGUGUUCUUUUUAACCCGGCUCUGGGACGCGUACACACCGCCCGUCAC